UUUCACCCUGUCUCUCUUCACACAGGUGUGUUGCCUUAUCGGAGACGAUGCUGUUGGAAGGAGCUGCUUAGCCCCCCACGAUGCCCUUUUCGGACUUUGUCCUAGCCCUGAAGGACAACCCCUACUUUGGGGCCGGGUUCGGCCUCGUGGGGGUGGGCACGGCGCUGGCGCUGGCCCGGAAAGGGGCCCAGUUUGGGCUGGUGGCCUUCAGGCGCCACUGCAUGAUCACCCUGGAGGUGCCCAGCAAGGACAAGAGCUACCACUGGCUGCUGAGCUGGAUCUCGCACCACGCCAAGCACACGCAGCACCUGAGCGUGGAGACCUCCUACCUGCAGCAUGAGAGCGGCCGCGUCAGCACCAAGUUCGACUUCGUCCCCAGCCCUGGGAACCAUUUCAUCUGGUACCAGGGGAAGUGGAUUCGCAUCGAGCGCAACCGGGAGAAACAGAUGAUCGACCUGCACACUGGGACCCCGUGGGAGUCUGUCACCUUCACCGCGCUGGGUACCAACCGGGAGAUCUUCUUCAACAUCCUCCAGGAAGCCCGGGCGCUGGCUCUGCAGCAGCAGGAGGGCAGGACCGUCAUGUACACGGCGGCGGGAGCCGAGUGGCGGCAGUUCGGCUUCCCCCGGCGCCGCCGCCCGCUCCGCUCCGUGGUGCUGGACGCCGGCGUGGCCGAGCGGCUGCUGCAGGACGUCCGGGAGUUCAUCGAGAACCCCAAGUGGUACAGCGAGCGAGGGAUCCCGUACCGGAGAGGCUACCUGCUGUACGGCCCGCCCGGCUGUGGGAAGAGCAGCUUCAUCACGGCGCUGGCCGGGGAGCUGCAGUACAGCAUCUGCCUGCUGAGCCUCAGCGACCGCAGCCUCUCCGACGACCGGCUCAACCACCUCCUGAGCGUGGCCCCGCAGCAGAGCAUCAUCCUGCUGGAGGACGUGGACGCUGCCUUCGUCAGCCGGGACCUUGCUGCCGAGAACCCUGCUGUGUACCAAGGCAUGGGGCGCCUGACCUUCAGCGGCCUCCUCAACGCCCUGGAUGGUGUGGCCUCCACAGAGGCCAGGAUUGUCUUCAUGACCACCAACUACGUGGACAGGCUGGACCCCGCGCUGGUGCGGCCGGGGCGCGUGGACCUCAAGCAGUACGUGGGCCACUGCUCCCRCUGGCAGCUGUGCCGCAUGUUCCAGCGCUUCUACCCGGAGCAGCCGGCGGGCGCSGCGGAGCGCUUCGCGGAGCAGGCGCUCGCAGCCUCCGACCGCAUCAGCGCCGCCCAGGUGCAGGGCCACCUCAUGCUCUACAAGUCAGACCCCAGAGGAGCCAUCGAAAAUGUGCGCUCCAUCCUGCAGUGACAAGGGGUGAGCCCCGUCCCGCCGCGCUGGGAGACCCGGGAACUGCUGGGGAAAGCACGUGACCAUCCUGAGGAUGCUGUGGAACUGCCCAGGCAGCAGUGCAGGGGGAUCGGCUCCAGCUGCUCCCUGACUCGGUGCUGAUGCGCAGGCCCCGGAGCGCCUUGUGCUGGGAUUGCCAGGGUUUCCGGACACGCCAGCCCCCCUGGCUCUUUCCCAACGCAAGGCAUCGMGGCGCUGCCCUGCUGAGGAGAACUGCAGGUCUGCUCAGAGUGGCCUUUGGCAGAACAGUCUUCA
This is an RNA transcript of Nothoprocta perdicaria, 1634 nucleotides long. It is a transcript of the gene named mitochondrial chaperone BCS1, with no coding region annotated. The transcript is spliced from 8 exons. The record is from RefSeq and is a predicted model, not a curated record. Lineage: Eukaryota; Metazoa; Chordata; Aves; Tinamiformes; Tinamidae.